Molecule: long non-coding RNA, 706 nt
Organism: Stomoxys calcitrans (stable fly)
Lineage: Eukaryota; Metazoa; Arthropoda; Insecta; Diptera; Muscidae
Exons: 3
Source: RefSeq, a predicted model, not a curated record
CGAUAGUUCAUUACCAAAAUAUUAAUACUUGUGCGUAGACAAAACAAGAUUUAAAAAUUUAUUGGCAAAUGCUGGUACUGUUUUCAUAAAGAAAUCCGGCAUGGCAUAUUGGGCUGCCUCAUUGUCAAAGUUCUCUUGAUAAUACCCACAGAGGAAAGAUAGGCUGAGUCAGACCAAUAUAUAUUUUUCUCUAAUUCAUAAAUGUGGUUUAAUAAUAUGUUCUCAUGUGUGGCAAGUUUUUCGAUGAACAGCUUUCGAUGACCUAAUGCAUAUGUGCACAGAGGCAGCACUCCUGCAGAAUUAUAAAGACGGUGUUAGAAAAUUUCCUAGUACGGUUUUUAAGUGUUUAUUGACACUCUUUCGCAACACUUUUCGCUCAAAAAUUUCAAGCUCUUUGGCCAAAGUUGGUGACAUCGUGAACCAUAAUGGAAAGCCGUAAACCAACACUUUAUAUAGAAGUAGGAUUGUUUGUUGCGGGAGAUAUUUGCUGUUGGAUAGAUAAGAAAAUGCUCCAGCUAUUCUUUUGGCUUUCUGAAGGGUAGAUCUUACGUGUUUAUUAAAUUUCAACAUCUUAUAUGAUGCCCAGGUACCACCGACCUAGGACAUUUCACUAAGGCAUUCCGAAUGCAUAUAGCCUCAGAUUUCGACGAGUUGAUGUUGAUUCCCCAUGUCUUAUAAAAGUUAUGAAUGGCUUCAAGAUGUACUA